RNAcentral lists this unclassified non-coding RNA (2784 nucleotides) under Hevea brasiliensis (rubber tree). Lineage: Eukaryota; Viridiplantae; Streptophyta; Magnoliopsida; Malpighiales; Euphorbiaceae. The record is from RNAcentral.
UUUGACAUUAUAUCUAGUUAGCACCUAUCAGUAGGGGUGAGCAGAUUUCGGUCUAAACCGAAUAACCGAAUCGAACUGAAUCAAUUCGGUUCAAUCGGUUCGAUUCAGUUUAUAAAUUUUGAUAAUUUCAGUUAAUCGAUUCAGUUCGGUUAUUUUCAUAAAAAAUAAAAAAAACGAACCAAACCGAAAUUAUAUAUAUAUAUCAAGGAAAUUCCAAGAUUUUUGAGUUCUGAUUUUUAAGUUUUUUUUUUAAUAUUUUUGUUAUUGAGAUUUAAUGUUGAAAAUAUGAAAUUUCAUAAAAUUCGGUUUUAUCAGUUUAAAACCGAACUGAACCAAUAUUUAUUGGUUUGAUUCGGUUCGGUUUUCUCUUAUUAAUCGGGUUGGUUUGGUUUUUAAAAUUUUUAAUUUUUGGUUUUCGGUUUUUUCUAUUCGGUUCGGUUCGGAAUCGAGCCGACCGUUUGCACACCCCUAGUGCUAUCCAUACAGCCUGUUGUAGAUGCCUUUGAUCCAAGAUUAUUGGUGGCUCCUGCAAUGUUUCAUGUGAUAGACUUCACUGAAAUAAAGGUAUAAGUUUACCCUCUGGACCUGUUUUUGUGUUUCUUGUCAGUUGUGCAUGUCCUAUUUAAUGCCCAUAAGAAAACAAUAUAUUUUUGGUUCCAUGUUUUUUUUUACUGUCUUGAAAUGUUCCUUCUGGAUAACCUUCUAUUCUUUUAUGAAAAUUUUCUCAUACAAAACACUCUCAUGUGUGUGCUACACUCAUGUCUGUGCUCUGUAAGUUUCAUAUCUCAUUCUUGGGAUGCCAAUCCUGUAUAUCUGAGAAAUUUUGCAAAUAGCUUUUGAACAAUGAAACGCAUUUUAAAGACUCUGCAAUAUUGACUUUAUUUUGGCCCUGAAAGGAGUAGUUGCAGAAGAACAGUUUCGUUCUUGCUAUCGCAAUAUAAUUAUUCUCUUCUUCAUGAGGAAUUUGAUCUGUUAUCACAUUUCUUUUUGCUGGAAGUGGAAUUAUAUGAAAUUGAUAUUCCCUUAAAAUUCAAAGCUUCUGUGGGAGCAAGAGUGCAUGGGCUGGCUUGUUGGUUUGAUGUAUUGUUUAAUGGAAGUAAUGUGCAAAGGUGGCUUACGACUGCCCCCGGUGCUUCUACAACCCACUGGUAUCAAUUACGCUGUGUUCUGUCUCAGCCACUCUAUGCCAUGGCAGGACAAGAAAUUACUGGCCGGCUCCACAUGGUUGCACACAAUGCUCAGAGUUAUACCAUAUAUUGAACACUGUCAGCUAAAAUGUGGGGUCCUGGUGCCGAACAAGGAGGAAUACUUCAGACAUCAUCAUGCAAGCUCAACCUAAAGGAACCAUAUCAUAGACUGUCUCAGCCACAAGCCUAUGCAAUGGCGCAAGAUCAGCAACCACAACAAAUGAUACAUGCACAGCUGAUCACUAUCUUUUAAUCAGCUUUUAUCUGCUUGAUUAUCUACAAUUAAUCUGGUGAAGAAACUUCAAACACUGAGUUAAUCAUGAGCAAGGAUCCAAUACUCCAAAUAACAUUCAAUUUUUCAUCUGUGCCUUUAAAUGCCAUCUUUCUUAGCAAAUGUUUGACAUCAAUGCUCGUAUGCCCAUUUGAGAACACAAUUAAACAUUUUACAGUUGGGAACAUGCUCUGUUUGUUUCCCUUAAAGGGACGCAGUAUGGAACACAGCAUUUGGUUAGAUACAAUAUUUGAAUGUGUUUAUCAUCCUCAUCUAUUUGUUCAAGAAGCUGCAUCUCAUGCAUAAUUUGGUCACAUGCAAAGUUCGCAAACGUGUUUAUACUGGUACCACAGUUUUUAUUUAGUACCUGGAUCUGUUAAUCUGUCAUCAUCUGCUACUCCGCAGCACUUUAUCAUGCAAGUGAGUUGUGAGUUCAGAUGCUUCUUGAAGUUGAAUUGAUGCGUCAUAUGGAUGCAAAAAUCACAAGUUUGCAGUUUCAUGCAUAGAAGUAAUUUUGCAUUUACAUUCCAGUUCAGUUUUUGGGUAGGAUUUACUUAAAUUUCUUGAAAUUAGUUUCCGUUGAGGAGGUAACAUUUAGAGUUUAAACAGUGUAAGAUUUUUGGGAUAAAAUUCUGUUGCUCUGUCAAUUCUCCGCCAAUUUUCAUAUUUGUACUUGUGCUAGCAUUUCCAUCAGUUUUCUGAAAUUUUGGAUUCCAAGUUUUAUCUAUGAAGUUUGGAGGUGCUUUUCUUAAUCUGCUUGCUCAUAUUAUGUGUGCUUAUGUACUUUUCUCUUAUUACUCACCGUCUUGCAUCGUCAUGACUUAAAACAAAAUGGUAACAGUGGAAUGAGUUCCAUCAUCUUCACAUCUUCAUUCUCACUAUUGGUGUUAAGUUGUUGUUAUGUGCAUAAUAGUGAUGAUAGUUUAUCUGGCUUAUUUCAGGAUAUACACAAUCAAUCAGAGGAUUUAGAAGAACCGGAUUUGAUACAGCCACCAUCUCAAAAUUUGGAAGCUCAACUCUAAUAAGUUUGUGGUGGAAUUUUAAAGAAAGCAAUUUUUAAAGUGGCAUAUGUUUGAGGUAUAAAAAUUUGCUGCUUCCCGGCAAGGGUUCUGCAUUGGUGAGCAUCAUGUACUCUUCUCUGCGCCGGUUCAGUUCCCUUGUAAAUUAGAUCAAAAUGAUUAAACUAUGUUGCAUAGUUGAUUCUGUGCGCUAUUUCAUUAUGCUUUAACGAGUUAAAACAAUCAAAUCCAUUGUGGCCCUUUCUCAUUCGACUGGGUCAUUUAAAUUGUAUUAUUGUAUUUUAGUCUGAAAAAAUUUAUAUUAUAA